CGAGAGGGAAAGAACCCAGACUAUCUGCUAAGGCCCCCAAAUGUAUGCUAAGUUGAUCAAACGUGGUGCGGUUGCACAGACAGCUAGGAUGUUGGCUUGGAAGCAGCCAUUCAUUUAAAGAGUGCGUAACAGCUCACUAGUCGAGCGGUCGAGCAUGGAUAAUAAUCGGGCAUAAGCAUAUUACUGAAGCUAUAGAUCUAUUUAUAGAUGGUAGGAGAGCAUUCUAAUUUGCGCUGAAGAUGUGAUGCGAGUCAUGUUGGAGCAAUUAG
This 269-nucleotide ribosomal RNA is filed under the name Alexandrium tamarense. RNAcentral describes it as "partial Bacterial large subunit ribosomal RNA". It matches the Rfam family "Bacterial large subunit ribosomal RNA", at positions 1012 to 1285 of the family's 2925-position model. Lineage: Eukaryota; Dinophyceae; Gonyaulacales; Pyrocystaceae. The record is from RNAcentral.